GAUGAACGCUAGCGGCAGGCUUAACACAUGCAAGUCGAGGGGCAGCGUGGAGUAGCAAUACUCUGACGGCGACCGGCGAAAGGGUGAGUAACGCGUGAGCAACAUGCCCGGUAGUGGAGGAUAGUCGAUGGAAACGUCGCGUAAUACUCCGUAACAACAGGGACCGCAUGAUCCUUGUUUGAAAGAAUUUCGGAUGCGGAUGGGCUCGCGGGACAUUAGCUAGUUGGAGUGGUAACGGCACACCAAGGCGACGAUGUCUAGGGGUUCUGAGAGGAAGGUCCCCCACAUUGGAACUGAGACACGGUCCAAACUCC
This 314-nucleotide ribosomal RNA is filed under the name uncultured Bacteroidales bacterium. RNAcentral describes it as "bacterial SSU rRNA". It matches the Rfam family "Bacterial small subunit ribosomal RNA", at positions 28 to 339 of the family's 1533-position model. The record is from RNAcentral. Lineage: Bacteria; Pseudomonadati; Bacteroidota; Bacteroidia; Bacteroidales.